RNAcentral lists this transfer RNA (817 nucleotides) under uncultured Synechococcus sp. RNAcentral describes it as "16S-23S ribosomal RNA intergenic spacer". The stretch from base 283 to 355 matches the Rfam family "tRNA". The record is from RNAcentral. Lineage: Bacteria; Bacillati; Cyanobacteriota; Cyanophyceae; Synechococcales; Synechococcaceae.
CAGGGAGACAAACCUAAUCAUGAUGUCUGAGUAAUUUUAAUCUCAGGCCAUGAUUCUGUCACCUUAGGUCGAUCGGUACCUCAAGGAGCGGAAGGGAGAACCUGAGCAAUCAGGGGAGACUUUAUUCUGCUUUUUCAGUUUCUAAACGUUGUCUAGGUCACCCCAUAGCUCCUGGGCCAUUAGCUCAGGUGGUUAGAGCGCACCCCUGAUAAGGGUGAGGUCCCUGGUUCAAGUCCAGGAUGGCCCAUGCACCGCCUGCUAAGCAGGCAGGACUUGCUGGCUGGGGGUUUAGCUCAGUUGGUAGAGCGCCUGCUUUGCAAGCAGGAUGUCAGCGGUUCGAGUCCGCUAACCUCCAUAUCAACGCUAACCCGCAAGCGCAAGCAAGUGAGCUGCUCGGGAGGACCUGGUUGGGAGAGAAAGGAAGAAAGCUGAGGAUGACUCCAGCCUUCAGGAGCCAAGAGAAGCCAUGAAUGUGGUGGAUGAUUGACUUUUGAAUGCUGGACUCACGCUAGUCAAUGAAGAUUGAUUGGCGAGACGUUCAGCGCAGAACCUUGACAACUGCAUAGGUGAGUCUGGAAAGAAAGCAUCUCAUGGAUGUCCAGUAAAAGCUGGAGAUUCUAUUGAGUUUAGAGCCGAGACUUUCCAGUGUUCUUCCAGGAAUCUAGCCAAUCCGGCUAGGUGACGGGAGUUUGAUUGUGGCAUUCAAACCACGAGCCUGACGAAUCAAGAAUUACGCAAGUAAGACUUGAGGAGUUGAGGUGAGCAGGUGAAUCCACGAGAAUAGGCCUCAACAGCCUGAAGCACUGGGAAGAUUAUU